This 547-nucleotide long non-coding RNA is filed under the name Trifolium pratense (red clover). RNAcentral describes it as "long non-coding RNA (TPRA_LNC010853)". The record is from RNAcentral. Lineage: Eukaryota; Viridiplantae; Streptophyta; Magnoliopsida; Fabales; Fabaceae.
UCCAAUUGGUCAUUAAAUUAUUUUACAUAAUGUUUGCAAUUCUUAAAUGUAAUCUUAUCUUGAUCAAAACACCUAGGAAUUAUUGAAUCAAUACUUAAUAAAGGGGCUGAUUAGUUAGUUAGCAAUGAGUUCCCCAAUGAUUACGAACCAUGAGCCAUAGGUGAAAUCAUACAAGAACAUAGUGUUAUUUAAGUAAUGAUUAAGUUCCCUUGGAUCGGGAUAUGCACGGGUAGGAUAACAACUCAUGAUUAGGUGAUUCCUGUACAUUAUUAGGAAUCCAUUAAGUUAAGAUUAUUAGAAUUAAAUCAGUUGAUUUUAUGGAAUUGAUUAUGGGCCUUGUGCCAUAUUUCGGAAUGAAAUGUUUCAGUGGCCUUUGUACCACAUUAAUGAAUAAAAUGUUAAGUUGUGAUCCUGGUGAUACCGGAGACUACCUGAUAUAGGAGUUGGAUAAUCUGGUUGGAUUCCUAGAGGGAAUUCCACAUGAAGAUAAGACGAGUCAAGGAGUCGUGUCCUAGCCCUCGAUAGGGAAUUUGACCGACUAGAUAGA